This 330-nucleotide ribosomal RNA is filed under the name uncultured bacterium. RNAcentral describes it as "bacterial SSU rRNA". It matches the Rfam family "Bacterial small subunit ribosomal RNA", at positions 66 to 422 of the family's 1533-position model. The record is from RNAcentral.
GCGGGCGUAGCAAUACGUCAGCGGCAGACGGGUGAGUAACGCGUGGGAACAUACCUUUUGGUUCGGAACAACACAGGGAAACUUGUGCUAAUACCGGAUAAGCCCUUACGGGGAAAGAUUUAUCGCCGAAAGAUUGGCCCGCGUCUGAUUAGCUAGUUGGUGAGGCAACGGCUCACCAAGGCGACGAUCAGUAGCUGGUCUGAGAGGAUGAUCAGCCACAUUGGGACUGAGACACGGCCCAAACUCCUACGGGAGGCAGCAGUGGGGAAUAUUGGACAAUGGGCGCAAGCCUGAUCCAGCCAUGCCGCGUGAGUGAUGAAGGCCCUAGGG